Molecule: ribosomal RNA, 465 nt
Filed under: Triticum aestivum (bread wheat)
Lineage: Eukaryota; Viridiplantae; Streptophyta; Magnoliopsida; Poales; Poaceae
Description: partial small subunit ribosomal RNA
Source: RNAcentral
AUGCCGGGCUCCACCGUGCUGCUGAUCGGCGCCUCCAUGGCCGCGCUCCUCGUCAUCUCCCUCUUCACCUUCCUCUGCUCCAACCGGCGCCAGUCGCUGUCACAGCGGAGCGUCGUCGACGUCGAGCUCGGCCACGGGUGCGCGGCCGCAGGCAUCGACGAGGCCGUCCUAGCCGCGUACACGACCACGGUGUACUCCUCGGCGGGGAGGCGACGGGACGGACGCCAGAUGGCUGCUGCCGACGCGUCGGCCGACGGUGACCAGCCGCCCGACGACACGGACACGGACACGCACACGACCUGCGCGGUUUGCCUGGCGGAGUACGCGGACGGCGACGAGCUCCGGCGGCUGCCCGGCUGCAAGCACGCGUUCCCCCGGCUGUGCGUCGACGAGUGGCUCCGGCGGCGGCCGAGCUGCCCGCUCUGCCGUACGUCGCCGCCUGCGGCCACCACCGAUGACUCCUGA